CAGCGAUGUCGAGUGCCUCGCGCUUCCUGUUGUCUCGUGUUGCAGCAGUACCCACUCACCUAACCACCUACUGGGUUUUUGAACACUUUUCCACUUUGAACCACUUUGAAUGUGCAGAUAAGAACAUGUGAGCAGACUUAAAGUGAGGUAAUCAGACAGAUCACCUCAGACAUCUUCUGAAACAUCAGCAUCAUCAGGUCUACAGAGGAGUCAAGAUGAAGACUCUCAGCCUCACAGUGGGACUGCUGCUCGUGCUGUUCGCUGUUUGCUCCUGUGAUGCCUCGUGUAAGUCUGUCAGCCUACUCUCUGCUCCAGACUGGAGGGAAAUUCUACUGUAACCGCCAAACUCUGCAUUUUUCCUCUAAUUAGCUCGUUUAGUUUGCUGUUAUAAGUUCUUUGAAAACAGGAUCCCAAAGUCACACAUCCUCUCCGUCAGCAAAACCUACAGCCUCUGCUCAACACCGGCAUUUGUGAUCGAGACACCCAGAGGGGAGUACUGUGUGAGGCAGACUGUGAAGUGGGCAAAGACUGAAUUUAUCAAACAAGAAACAAAGAAACAAUUAACACAUCAAGCACCUGCUGCAGCAUUGAUGAAUGCCUCGAGCAGAAAUACAUCAGCCACUCCAUAAAGUCUCUUUGUAAACACGAAGAGCUGCUGAACCUCUGCAUACUUUACCUGCUUAAUUACUGUUAAUAAUGCUGAAGAGAGGACACAUUUAUUGAGCACUGAUUUCAGAUCUUUCCAUUAAAAAUCAUAAUAUUAAAUUAAUAAUUUGGUUAAGAUGUUAAAUGUCGAUAUUGACAUGUAUGUCAGUAAUAAAGUUGAUUAACAAAUUGUA
Molecule: long non-coding RNA, 839 nt
Organism: Oreochromis aureus
Lineage: Eukaryota; Metazoa; Chordata; Actinopteri; Cichliformes; Cichlidae
Source: Ensembl